RNAcentral lists this long non-coding RNA (818 nucleotides) under Amborella trichopoda. Its description in RNAcentral is "long non-coding RNA (ATRI_LNC002677)". The record is from RNAcentral. Lineage: Eukaryota; Viridiplantae; Streptophyta; Magnoliopsida; Amborellales; Amborellaceae.
CAUCUCAUUGUUGGUUUCAUUCCUUGUUCCCUAAACAUCUCGUGAUGUCACCGUUGGUUGGGCUUUGUACUUGGUUUUUUGCAGCUCGUUUCCCUGCUCACUAUAGGGUGGCAACAUUAAUUUUGGAUUAAUGCUGCCAUAAGUAUUGUCGAAGUUAGAGAGAGAGAGAGGUAUCCUAGGACUGAGUGGUUGAAAGGAAGAGUGUUUGAUAGAGAGAGAGAGAUCCUAGGACUGUGAGUGGUUGAAAGGAAGAGUGUUUGGUGUGUGUUUGAGAGAAAAAUGUGGGGAUGAAGAGGGGCGAUAUACUGUGAUUCUGACAGUCAAGAGGCUAUUGGUGCAUCACAUAGAGAGAGAGAGAGAGGUGUGAAUGUUAUUGGUAUAGAGAGAGAAGAGAGAGAGAGAGAGAGAAGAGAGAGAUGUGAAUGUGAUUGGUUAAAGAGAGGGAGAGGAUGUUGGUAAAUUGUGCAGUUUUCGAUAGUGUUGGUAAGUGCGCUUCUUUACUUCAGAUUCACUUAGGCGUAGCUUAAAGAGAACAUCAUAUACAUGCCCCAUUUGACAUUUUCUCUUCCUUUUCCUUUAACUACAGGGUAACUGCCCUUUCCAUUUCUUAUCACCAGAUCAUCAACCUCAACUACCGCAUGUGCUAGAAGGUCCAGAAAUAAAGGAUAAACCAGUGUUUGUAAAAUCGAAUCGGAAGGGUCAAUCGGACAUGAGCCUUGAAGCGAUUUAACCGGUCUAACCGGUAAAUCGGCUGAUUCAACCGCUCCAAUCAGAUAAGUCCAGAAUGAUUAAAAAAAUAUUAAAAAGGUAAAAAAAAA